This 397-nucleotide ribosomal RNA is filed under the name uncultured euryarchaeote. RNAcentral's name for it is "bacterial SSU rRNA". It matches the Rfam family "Archaeal small subunit ribosomal RNA", at positions 347 to 745 of the family's 1478-position model. Lineage: Archaea; Methanobacteriati; Methanobacteriota. The record is from RNAcentral.
CCUUUACAAUGCACGAAAGUGUGAUAGGGGAACUCAAAGUGCUUAUGUUUUUCAUAGGCUUUUGCCAAGUCAAAACUGCUUGGCGAAUAAGUGGUGGGUAAGACUGGUGCCAGCCGCCGCGGUAACACCAGCGCCACAAGUGGGAGCCAGUUUUAUUGGGCCUAAAGCGUCCGUAGCAGGCUAAGUAAAUUACUUGUGAAAUCGGAUAGCUUAACUAUUCGGACUGCAGGUAAGACUGCUUAGCUAGAGACCGGGAGACGUUGGAGGUAUUCAAGGGGGAGCGGUAAAAUGCGAGAAUCCCUUGAGGACCACCUGUUGCGAAGGCGUCCAACAAUAACGGGUCUGACUGUGAGGGACUAAAGCUAGGGGAGCGAACCGGAUUAGAUACCCGGGUAGU